RNAcentral lists this ribosomal RNA (1809 nucleotides) under human gut metagenome. RNAcentral describes it as "bacterial LSU rRNA". It matches the Rfam family "Bacterial large subunit ribosomal RNA", at positions 1125 to 2925 of the family's 2925-position model. The record is from RNAcentral.
AAAGAGUGCGUAACAGCUCACUGGUCGAGUGGACAUGCGCCGACAAUACACGGGGCUAAGCUGGACACCGAAGCGGCGGGAUUUUAAUUCAUUAGAAUCGGUAGGGGAGCUUCCCAUGGGCGGAGAAGCCGGAGGGCGACCGACGGUGGAGCGCAUGGGAGUGAGAAUGCUGGCAUGAGUAGCGAGAGACGAGAGAGUAACUCGUCCGCCGUGAACCCGAGGUUUCCUGGGCAAGGCUAAUCCUCCCAGGGUCAGUCGGGGGCUAAGGCGAGGCCGGUAGGCGUAGCCGACGCGCAGCAGGCAGACAUUCCUGCACCGCGCACGCGGCGCUACGACCGACGGGGCGACGGAUGGGGGUGGCUCGGCGGGGUUCUGGACGUCCCCGUGAUGGAGCGCGGCCCGCGGACCAGGGAAAUCCGGUCCGCUUCGAGGGCGAGGCUCCGGACGAAGCGACUGAGCGAAGCGAGUGAGCCCGAGGUCCCUAGAAAAACCCCUAGGCAGGCGCGUGCGCGCCCGUACCGCAAACCGACACAGGUGGGUGGGUAGAACAUACCGAGGCGAUCGGGUCAACCAUGGUCAAGGAACUCGGCACAAUGGCCCCGUAACUUCGGGAGAAGGGGUGCCCGCGCGUACGUGAACCGGCUCGCCCGGGGAGCGGAGGCGGGCCGCAGUGGAGAGGCCCAAGCGACUGUUUACCAAAAACACAGGACUCUGCAGAAGCCGCAAGGCGACGUAUAGGGUCUGACGCCUGCCCGGUGCCGGAAGGUCACGCGGAGGAGUUAGCCGUUAAGGCGAAGCCCCGAAGCCAAGCCCCGGUAAACGGCGGCCGUAACUAUAACGGUCCUAAGGUAGCGAAAUUCCUUGUCGGGUAAGUUCCGACCUGCACGAAAGGCGCAACGACUUGGGCGCUGUCUCAACCAUGGACCCGGUGAAAUUGCACUGGUCGUGAAGAUGCGACUUACCCGCGGAAGGACGGAAAGACCCCGUGAACCUUCACUGCAGCUUGGCAUUGGCCGCUGGUCCCGCGUGUAGAGGAUAGGCAGGAGGCAUCGAUCCGGAGGCGCCAGCCCCCGGGGAGCCGCCCUUGGAAUACUGCCCUCGCGCGACCGGCGUCCUAACCCGAGGCCGUCAACCGGCUCGGGGACCGUGCCAGGCGGGCAGUUUGACUGGGGCGGUCGCCUCCUAAAGGGUAACGGAGGCGCGCGAAGGUCCGCUCGGGACGGUCGGCAACCGUCCUUUUGAAUGCAAGAGUACAAGCGGGCUUGACUGCGAGGCCCACAAGCCGAGCAGGUGCGAAAGCAGGCUCUAGUGAUCCGGCGGCCCCGAGUGGGUGGGCCGUCGCUCAACGGAUAAAAGGUACUCCGGGGAUAACAGGCUGAUCUUGCCCAAGAGUCCACAUCGACGGCAAGGUUUGGCACCUCGAUGUCGGCUCAUCGCAUCCUGGGGCUGGAGCAGGUCCCAAGGGUACGGCUGUUCGCCGUUUAAAGCGGUACGCGAGCUGGGUUCAGAACGUCGUGAGACAGUUCGGUCCCUAUCCUCCGUGGGCGCAGGAGAAUCGAUGGAGGCUGCCCCCAGUACGAGAGGACCGGGGUGGACGCACCUCCGGUGAACCGGUUGUCGACCAACGGCACGGCCGGGUAGCCGCGUGCGGCGCGGAUAACCGCUGAAGGCAUCUAAGCGGGAAGCCGUUCCAGGGAUUAGUUCUCCUUCCGGUAAGGGCCCAGGUAGACUACCUGGUCGAUAGACGGCAGGUGCAAGGGCGGCGACGUCCUCAGCCGAGCCGCACUAAUCGCCCGAGCUCUUCCGGAA